Molecule: long non-coding RNA, 1269 nt
Filed under: Rhagoletis pomonella (apple maggot)
Lineage: Eukaryota; Metazoa; Arthropoda; Insecta; Diptera; Tephritidae
Description: uncharacterized LOC118753673
Source: RNAcentral
UCUUCGCUCAAUUGUUAUUAUAAUGUCAACGCGUUAAGUUCGUAUUCCGCUCAUAUUUCAUCGAUAGUUUUCCGCGCUUACAUUUCAUUCAUAAAACUACAAAUACGAAGUUUAGUGUAAACCUAUAUUAAUGAGUUAUCGAAAUAGUUGGCAAAGUUUUUUUUAAGUAAUCAUCUGUUACUUAUGAAUGUGAAUCAUGAUCAUGUUUCUACGGUUGUAUACUUACAAAAGCAGCAUUUCUGAGCACUGCAAUGUUAUUGGUAGAGUUGUUAAAACCUGGUGGCAUUGCAUUACUUAGAACUGAACAAAUGAAUGAUGAACGUUAAAAGAAAAUCGAGCUUACUGACUCACUGGCGCAUACGCACAUAUGUAUGUAGGACAUUUCACACAUUCUUUGAAUACGCACGCAUCAUUGUCGACCGAAAAAACUCCAGCGAAUAGGACAAUUUUACGCACAUUCAUCACCACAACAUAUCUGUUGAGACAAUUCUUUAAUCCCACUAAAGACGAAAUUAGCGCAAUAAAUACACAGACAAGCUUGUUUCGCUGGGGAAGAGGCAACCCAUUUUGGUCGGAGAUCGUAAAAUUUUGAAUGUCCAAUUUUCAAAUCCGUGUGGUCUUACUUGAACAUUUGAUACGUUUCGUGGAUACUGCGCGUCAUGUAACGUUUUAUUUUGAGCAACUUAACAUCAUUCUCGUAGACGUUAAUCGAAUAAUUUUUAUUUGGAUUUUAAGUCGAGCAAUUGAGAUCAUCAUUCAAAUAAUAUUCCGAUCUUCCGAACAUUCUCAUCUAUCGGAUAUGCUGAAUAUGGAUCGGGGAAUACUAUAAUAUUAUCAGUUACAUGAGGCCAUUUUGAAAAAAUAAAAUUUUUUGGCAUUUGACAAAUAGCCGUUGCUUAUAAUAGCCUAAUUUUCUCUGUAUACGAAGUACAAUUUUCUAGACUGGAACCAAAAUUUUCAAACCAGUUCACGCAAAGUUGACAAUUCGAAAUCUCUGAUAUGGGAAAUUUAAUUAUUCAUUUCCUGCGAUGUAAUACAACUUUUUCAUCUUACACAAAAGCCGCUAAUCCUGUAUUUCUGCUAUUUAUUUGCGUUUUCUUGACAUGAUGGAGGGCUGAUCUGAUAUCAACUUCACUUACAUUUUUAAGAGGGUUCGUUUUGGGAACAAACGAUUCGUCUAGCAAGUUGCUGCUUUAAAGUGACAAGUCACUAUUAACUGCUGGUACAACUGAUGAGACCUCGAAUGUUGAAGGCGAAGGUUUAUUUUUA